GGGACGCACUGGGUCGGAGGACCACAUGGCAGGGAGCCAUAGGCUUACCUGUUGUGUUCCAGCUGAUCUGAGCUGCUCCAGCUGGAGGUCCAGGCUUUGCCCGCGUCCCCACCCCAAAUCACCACCUGUCUGCCUUGCGGAAUAACUGUCCUUUGUGUUUGUGCGCAGGGUCGGAAUUAAACCCCAGAGUCCAGAUUUUUCUCAUUUCUUCCUCUUUCCAGCUCAGUGGAAGUAGACCCCGGAUUGUCAUCCCAUUUCACAGGUUUCCUGCCAAGCUGCGUCCUGGUGAGGCUGUGACCAUGAGUUCAUGACGUUCUCCUGCCCUGCAGAAUGCAAGUUUGGAGAUCUGGGAUCAGGCUAAUUUUUUGACAGAUUCUGACAUGUCAAAGCCCAAUGACUGUUUUCCAGGCCUACCCAACUUGUCAUCCAUGGCCUUGAAAGUGGAGUCAUUCUAAAC
Phascolarctos cinereus (koala) is the source of this 457-nucleotide non-coding RNA. NCBI's taxonomy places the organism in Eukaryota, Metazoa, Chordata, Mammalia, Diprotodontia, Phascolarctidae. The record is from RefSeq and is a predicted model, not a curated record.